CACGCAGCACUCCAUUCAUUCAUCACGCAAGCCUGCAGAGGAACUCCCUCACGCACCGGCUCGCAUCUACCCGGCAGGAGGAAAGACGCAGGCACCCGAGCCGGCGUACAAGGAGCUCGGCGGCUGCGACAUGGACGCGAAGCUCACCUUCCCCGAAAGUAAAACUUUGAUCUAACCCAUCCCUUUCCUUGUUCCUUCUUUGCAUAUAGCAUGCACACACACAGGUCGGGAGCGUUGCCGAAAGCAAUGUUCGCAUGACCGGACCCCCGUCGGAGAUGGAGCCGCCGGACCGGAAGGUGAAGUGGACGUCGCCGGAGAUGGUCUUCACCAAGCCAGCGCCACAAAGAACGACGAAGAGGUCGUCAUCACCACCUGUUGUUCGCCUCGUCACGACGGUUCGGCCAAGACGACGACACGGAGCACGCCACGACGCCGCCCACCGUCGAGGUCGCCAGGUCGAUGCCCCGGAGGUCGACGCCACGGUGGACACCCCAGUCAUCACCGCGCGACGAGGACGACGCGUCGCCGGAGCUCAUCUUCACCAAGCCCGCGCUAUGGAUGCUGACGCCACCGAGGUCGGUGUCACAGAGGUCGACGCCACUGUGGCCACCCCAGUCAUCACCGCGCGAUGAGGACGACGCGUCCCCGGAUCUCAUCUUCACCAAGCCAGCACCGCAAAGAACGACAAAGAGGUCGUCAUCACCGCCUGUUGUUCACCUCGUCAGGACGGUUCGGCCAAGACGAUGGCAUAGAGCACGCCACCACGCCGCCCACCGUCGAGGUCACCGAGGUCGGUGUCACAGAGGUCGACGCCACGGUGGCCGCCCC
RNAcentral lists this long non-coding RNA (828 nucleotides) under Triticum aestivum (bread wheat). RNAcentral's name for it is "long non-coding RNA (TAES_LNC016776)". The record is from RNAcentral. Lineage: Eukaryota; Viridiplantae; Streptophyta; Magnoliopsida; Poales; Poaceae.